UGGGGAAUUUUGGACAAUGGGCGAAAGCCUGAUCCAGCAAUGCCGCGUGUGUGAAGAAGGCCUUCGGGUUGUAAAGCACUUUUGUCCGGAAAGAAAUCCUUGGCUCUAAUACAGUCGGGGGAUGACGGUACCGGAAGAAUAAGCACCGGCUAACUACGUGCCAGCAGCCGCGGUAAUACGUAGGGUGCAAGCGUUAAUCGGAAUUACUGGGCGUAAAGCGUGCGCAGGCGGUUUGCUAAGACCGAUGUGAAAUCCCCGGGCUCAACCUGGGAACUGCAUUGGUGACUGGCAGGCUAGAGUAUGGCAGAGGGGGGUAGAAUUCCACGUGUAGCAGUGAAAUGCGUAGAGAUGUGGAGGAAUACCGAUGGCGAAGGCAGCCCCCUGGGCCAAUACUGACGCUCAUGCACGAAAGCGUGGGGAGCAAACAGGAUUAGAUACCCUGGUAGUCCACGCCCUAAAACGAUGUCAACUAGUUGUUGGGGAUUCAUUUCCUUAGUAACGUAGCUAACGCGUGAAGUUGACCGCCUGGGGAGUACGGUCGCAAGAUUAAAACUCAAAUGAAUUGAU
RNAcentral lists this ribosomal RNA (567 nucleotides) under uncultured bacterium. RNAcentral's name for it is "partial 16S ribosomal RNA". It matches the Rfam family "Bacterial small subunit ribosomal RNA", at positions 355 to 914 of the family's 1533-position model. The record is from RNAcentral.